Molecule: ribosomal RNA, 468 nt
Filed under: uncultured bacterium
Lineage: Bacteria
Description: partial 16S ribosomal RNA
Rfam family: Bacterial small subunit ribosomal RNA
Source: RNAcentral
GACGAACGCUGGCGGCGUGCUUAACACAUGCAAGUCGAACGGAAAGGCCCUGCUUUUGUGGGGUGCUCGAGUGGCGAACGGGUGAGUAACACGUGUGUAACCUGCCCUUGACUUUGGGAUAACUUCAGGAAACUGGGGCUAAUACCGGAUAGGAGCUCCUGCUGCAUGGUGGGGGUUGGAAAGUUUCGGCGGUUGGGGAUGGACUCGCGGCUUAUCAGCUUGUUGGUGGGGUAGUGGCUUACCAAGGCUUUGAAGGGUAGCCGGCCUGAGAGGGUGACCGGCCACAUGGGGACUACGAUACGGCCCAGACUCCUACGGGAGGCAGCGGUGGGAAAUAUUGCAGAAUGGGCGGAAGCCUGAUGCAGCAACGCCGCGUGCGGGAUGACGGCCUUCGGGUUGUAAACCGCUUUCGCCGGUGACGAAGCGUGAGUGACGGUAAUGGGUAAAGAAGCACCGGCUAACUACGUG